Long non-coding RNA from Temnothorax curvispinosus, 213 nucleotides. RefSeq lists it as uncharacterized. The record is from RefSeq and is a predicted model, not a curated record. The transcript has 3 exons. Lineage: Eukaryota; Metazoa; Arthropoda; Insecta; Hymenoptera; Formicidae.
GGCGGACAGUCCAGACACAGGAUGACGGAUCGGCUCCGGGACGAGUGGCGUCGCGACUCGUGUUUAACUGAACGCGGCGGACAGAGUGGACAGACACGAGACGGAUCGGCUCUCGGAUCGCGACUUAUUUAAUUGGAAACAGAUGUGAAUGUUAAGAAGAAAUAGCAAUGGAGAAAGAAGAGAGAGGAGAAGAGGAGGAGCCGAGGAGGCGGC